CAGUCGCCGCGGUAAAACGGAGGGUGCAAGCGUUAAUCGGAAUUACUGGGCGUAAAGCGCACGCAGGCGGUUUGUUAAGUCAGAUGUGAAAUCCCCGAGCUUAACUUGGGAACUGCAUUUGAAACUGGCAAGCUAGAGUCUUGUAGAGGGGGGUAGAAUUCCAGGCGUAGCGGUGAAAUGCGUAGAGAUCUGGAGGAAUACCGGUGGCGAAGGCGGCCCCCUGGACAAAGACUGACGCUCAGGUGCGAAAGCGUGGGGAGCAUACAGGAUUAGAUACCCGCGUAGUCCCUGUCUCUUAUAC
This 301-nucleotide ribosomal RNA is filed under the name uncultured bacterium. RNAcentral describes it as "partial 16S ribosomal RNA". It matches the Rfam family "Bacterial small subunit ribosomal RNA", at positions 509 to 807 of the family's 1533-position model. The record is from RNAcentral.